RNAcentral lists this long non-coding RNA (1426 nucleotides) under Salvia miltiorrhiza (redroot sage). Its description in RNAcentral is "long non-coding RNA (SMIL_LNC001839)". Lineage: Eukaryota; Viridiplantae; Streptophyta; Magnoliopsida; Lamiales; Lamiaceae. The record is from RNAcentral.
AAAUACUCAACACAUUAAAUAUAACAAGAAUAUCAUACAGAACAUUUACAUAAAAAAAAUAUUUAACAAAAUCAAAGUACAAGUAUGAAAUUACUAACUACAUAUAAUUUUUAAUGUCUAAAUUACUAAGCACUUAAUCUACAACUCGCAAUUAAUCUAGGACUCAUAAUUUUUCUUCAAGCUCUUGAUCAAAAAGCAACUCCAUUGUACAUUGGAAGAGUUGAACAUUGGUUAACCAUCGUGACAACUUUUUCAAUGACUCCUGCCAAGAUAAAAGAAACAAGAUAUUAGUCAACAUACACAAUUUAACAUAUUUUAAGGUACAAAUAACAAAGUUAAAAUAACAUAUUUUAACAUAUAGGGGAUGAAUAAAUUAAAGACUUCAGAUGAGGGGAUGAGUCGAAUAAAGACUUGACAAGGACUUGGUAUAUAGAAAAAUCAGUACACACGAAUCAUAUUAUUGGGAGUUCAUGAUAGUAUGUAGAAUUUAGUUUACGAGAGUCUUUAUUUCUAGCAAUUCUCCCAAAAAAAGGUAGGAACCCAAAGGACAAUACAAAGUAGUAGCCUGAACCUAAUCAGCCCAGCUAAUUAAUAUAGGGGGAAAAAAUACUUAUCCACUAAACAGCAAGGCAAAAUGAAACUGACUAACUGAGACAUAAAGAGGAAGAAAAGCAGACCAUUAGGAAACUAAAAUAUAAAGGGGAAACUGGAUAAAGAUGAUUCCAGUUGAAGAAAGCAUUAAGGACAAAAGACAAUCAGAGUCACAUUUCAAUGUUAAAAUUCAUACACACUUAAGUAUAAUAAUGAGUUUUCCAAUCAGAGGAUUAUGUCAAAAAAUAGUUCAAGUUUAGAGUUGAUGGUUAGUAGUAAAAAUGAUGGAAAACGGAAUAAAACCAGACUGCAGCUUUUUACCUCUGAUGAUCUCCAUCGCAGCUGAGCAAGCAGAUAAUCUUUAGCAGUUCACUGAUCCGUUCCCUUCGAUUCUGCAACAGUAAUUCUAAAUCAACUAAUUAAAAGCAAGCAUUCUUGAUAAUUUUGGUCAUGGAUGAGUAGUGAAACCUUAGCUGCAACACUUUGUGGAUCUUUGGAUUCUGCUGCAGCCUUGGGUUUCGCCUUUCUCUCCCUGCAACAACCAACCAAAUUCAACCUCUCUCUUUAAACUCCAACGAUUCCAACGGACCUAUAGAACGCGGUGCUGCGUGUUCUAGCCUGGAGGCGUGCGGCGGCUGAUGGAGCAGAGCGGCGUGCGGCGGUACUAGAGUGCAGAGCGGCGGGCGACGCUAGGGCGCAGAGCGGCGGGCGACGCGCGGCUCCAGGGUUUCGAUCCCUAGUGAAAAGGUGAAAGUGGAGAUGGAAUUAGCGUGAAUUACACUUAGGUUAAUUAGUAGUGGAAGCCAGAGAGUUUUGGUGGGGAUGUGAAGUGGAG